UACGUAGGGCGCAAGCGUUGUCCGGAAUUAUUGGGCGUAAAGAGCUCGUAGGCGGUUUGUCGCGUCGGGUGUGAAAGCCCACGGCUUAACUGUGGGUCUGCAUUCGAUACGGGCAGGCUAGAGGCAGCUAGGGGAGCAUGGAAUUCCCGGUGUAGCGGUGAAAUGCGCAGAUAUCGGGAGGAACACCGGUGGCGAAGGCGGUGCUCUGGGGCUGUUCUGACGCUGAGGAGCGAAAGCGUGGGGAGCGAACAGG
Molecule: ribosomal RNA, 253 nt
Filed under: uncultured bacterium
Lineage: Bacteria
Description: partial 16S ribosomal RNA
Rfam family: Bacterial small subunit ribosomal RNA
Source: RNAcentral